RNAcentral lists this ribosomal RNA (334 nucleotides) under uncultured bacterium. Its description in RNAcentral is "bacterial SSU rRNA". It matches the Rfam family "Bacterial small subunit ribosomal RNA", at positions 28 to 362 of the family's 1533-position model. The record is from RNAcentral.
GAUGAACGCUAGCGGCAGGCUUAACACAUGCAAGUCGAGGGGUAGAAGGAGCUUGCUCCUUUGAGACCGGCGCACGGGUGCGUAACGCGUAUGCAAUCUACCUUUUGCAGAGGGAUAGCCCAGAGAAAUUUGGAUUAAUACCUCAUAGUAUGUGAGGAUGGCAUCAUUUUCACAUUAAAGUCACAACGGCAAAAGAAUGAGCAUGCGUCCCAUUAGCUAGUUGGUAAGGUAACGGCUUACCAAGGCUACGAUGGGUAGGGGUCCGUGAGAGGGAGAUCCCCACACUGGUACUGAGACACGGACCAGACUCCUACGGGAGGCAGCAGUGAGGAAU